UGGGCGCAAGCCUGAUCCAGCCAUGCCGCGUGCAGGAAGAAGCAUCUAUGGUGUGUAAACUGCUUUUGUACGGGAAGAAACACUCCUUCGUGAAGGAGCUUGACGGUACCGUAAGAAUAAGGAUCGGCUAACUCCGUGCCAGCAGCCGCGGUAAUACGGAGGAUCCAAGCGUUAUCCGGAAUCAUUGGGUUUAAAGGGUCCGUAGGCGGUUUGGUAAGACAGAGGUGAAAUCCCCGGGCUCAACCUGGGAACUGCCUUUGUGACUGCAAGGCUAGAGUACGGCAGAGGGGGAUGGAAUUCCGCGUGUAGCAGUGAAAUGCGUAGAUAUGCGGAGGAACACCGAUGGCGAAGGCAAUCCCCUGGGCCUGCACUGACGCUCAUGCACGAAAGCGUGGGGAGCAAACAGGAUUAGAUACCCUGGUAGUCCACGCCCUAAACGAUGUCAACUGGUUGUUGGGUCUUUGCUGACUCAGUAACGAAGCUAACGCGUGAAGUUGACCGCCUGGG
Molecule: ribosomal RNA, 507 nt
Filed under: uncultured bacterium
Lineage: Bacteria
Description: bacterial SSU rRNA
Rfam family: Bacterial small subunit ribosomal RNA
Source: RNAcentral